Molecule: ribosomal RNA, 497 nt
Filed under: uncultured bacterium
Lineage: Bacteria
Description: partial 16S ribosomal RNA
Rfam family: Bacterial small subunit ribosomal RNA
Source: RNAcentral
GAUGAACGCUGGCGGCGUGCCUAAUACAUGCAAGUCGAGCGAACGGACGAGAAGCUUGCUUCUCUGAUGUUAGCGGCGGACGGGUGAGUAACACGUGGAUAACCUACCUAUAAGACUGGGAUAACUUCGGGAAACCGGAGCUAAUACCGGAUAAUAUUUUGAACCGCAUGGUUCAAAAGUGAAAGACGGUCUUGCUGUCACUUAUAGAUGGAUCCGCGCUGCAUUAGCUAGUUGGUAAGGUAACGGCUUACCAAGGCAACGAUGCAUAGCCGACCUGAGAGGGUGAUCGGCCACACUGGAACUGAGACACGGUCCAGACUCCUACGGGAGGCAGCAGUAGGGAAUCUUCCGCAAUGGGCGAAAGCCUGACGGAGCAACGCCGCGUGAGUGAUGAAGGUCUUCGGAUCGUAAAACUCUGUUAUUAGGGAAGAACAUAUGCGUAAGUAACUGUGCACAUCUUGACGGUACAUAAUCAGAAAGCCACGGCUAACUACGUG